GGGGAAUUGCUCGCAAUGGGCGCAAGCCUGACGACGCAACGCCGCGUGGAGGAUGAAGAUCUUCGGGUCGUAAACUCCUGUCGAGCGGGACGAAUGUCUCGCGGCUGAAUAAUCCGCGAGGGUGACGGUACCGCUAAAGGAAGCCCCGGCUAACUCCGUGCCAGCAGCCGCGGUAAUACGUAGGUGGCAAGCGUUGUCCGGAUUUACUGGGCGUAAAGGGCGUGCAGGCGGUUUGUUAAGUCUAGGGUGAAAGCUCCCGGCUCAACUGGGAGAGGUCCUUGGAUACUGGCGAACUUGAGGGAUGCAGAGGAAAGUGGAAUUCCCGGUGUAGUGGUGAUAUGCGUAGAUAUCGGGAGGAACACCAGUGGCGAAGGCGGCUUUCUGGGCAUUUCCUGACGCUGAGACGCGAAAGCGUGGGGAGCGAA
Molecule: ribosomal RNA, 425 nt
Filed under: uncultured bacterium
Lineage: Bacteria
Description: bacterial SSU rRNA
Rfam family: Bacterial small subunit ribosomal RNA
Source: RNAcentral